RNAcentral lists this non-coding RNA (28 nucleotides) under Rattus norvegicus (Norway rat). Lineage: Eukaryota; Metazoa; Chordata; Mammalia; Rodentia; Muridae. The record is from RNAcentral.
UAACAUAUCAAGGUAAGACCCUGUAGUA